GAUGAACGCUGGCGGCGUGCUUAACACAUGCCAGUCGAACGGAAAGGCUCCUGCUUGCAGGGGUACUCGAGUGGCGAACGGGUGAGUAACACGUGGGUGAUCUGCCCUGCACUUCGGGAUAAGCCUGGGAAACUGGGUCUAAUACCGGAUAGGACCACAUUUUGGAUGGUGUGGUGGAAAGUUUUUCGGUGUGGGAUGAGCUCGCGGCCUAUCAGCUUGUUGGUGGGGUAAUGGCCUACCAAGGCGUCGACGGGUAGCCGGCCUGAGAGGGUGUACGGCCACAUUGGGACUGAGAUACGGCCCAGACUCCUACGGGAGGCAGCAGUGGGGAAUAUUGCACAAUGGGCGCAAGCCUGAUGCAGCGACGCCGCGUGGGGGAUGACGGCCUUCGGGUUGUAAACUCCUUUCGCUAGGGACGAAGCGUUUUUGUGACGGUACCUGGAGAAGAAGCACCGGCUAACUACGUG
Molecule: ribosomal RNA, 467 nt
Filed under: uncultured bacterium
Lineage: Bacteria
Description: partial 16S ribosomal RNA
Rfam family: Bacterial small subunit ribosomal RNA
Source: RNAcentral